AUAACCAACGGCGGUGCCACCGGCGGCACCGGCGAGGGUAUUCUCUACAGAUCCUCUGCCAGAACUCCUUCUAACCAAUUCCUUUUCCGCCGCAACGCGCUCUUUCCGCCUUCCAAAGAAGCCCGCACCCUCCAUGUCGUUCAAGCCAAGAAAUCCUCCUUCCGAACCGGCCGAUUCGACAGUAAGAACCGGAGGAGCUCGACGACAACCAAGGAACAGGAAGAAGAAGACGAACGAAAUCGGAUGGCCGAGAUUUUAAGCGACAGUCCCAACGUUGGAAAUGCCAGCGUAGCGUUUGAUGUGGACGAGAAUCUGCCGGAAUUGCCCGGGCUUCAGCCUGAUUUCUG
RNAcentral lists this unclassified non-coding RNA (347 nucleotides) under Hevea brasiliensis (rubber tree). Lineage: Eukaryota; Viridiplantae; Streptophyta; Magnoliopsida; Malpighiales; Euphorbiaceae. The record is from RNAcentral.